This 161-nucleotide ribosomal RNA is filed under the name Roseburia sp. AM23-20. Its description in RNAcentral is "partial 16S ribosomal RNA". It matches the Rfam family "Bacterial small subunit ribosomal RNA", at positions 1 to 141 of the family's 1533-position model. Lineage: Bacteria; Bacillati; Bacillota; Clostridia; Lachnospirales; Lachnospiraceae. The record is from RNAcentral.
UUAAACAUGAGAGUUUGAUCCUGGCUCAGGAUGAACGCUGGCGGCGUGCUUAACACAUGCAAGUCGAACGAAGCACUUUAUUUGAUUUCUUCGGAAUGAAGAUUUUGUGACUGAGUGGCGGACGGGUGAGUAACGCGUGGGUAACCUGCCUCAUACAGGGG